UGGGGAAUAUUGGGCAAUGGGCGCAAGCCUGACCCAGCAACGCCGCGUGAAGGAAGAAGGUCUUCGGAUUGUAAACUUUUGUCGCCAGGGACGAAAAAAGACGGUACCUGGUAAGAAAGCCCCGGCUAACUACGUGCCAGCAGCCGCGGUAAUACGUAGGGGGCGAGCGUUGUCCGGAAUUACUGGGCGUAAAGGGCGCGUAGGCGGCAUAUUAAGUUAGAUGUGAAAUCCCCGGGCUUAACCUGGGUGUUGCAUUUAAAACUGAUAAGCUUGAGUGCAGGAGAGGUAAGUGGAAUUCCUAGUGUAGCGGUGAAAUGCGUAGAUAUUAGGAGGAACAUCAGUGGCGAAGGCGACUUACUGGACUGUAACUGACGCUGAGGCGCGAAAGCGUGGGGAGCAAACA
This 403-nucleotide ribosomal RNA is filed under the name uncultured Eubacteriales bacterium. RNAcentral's name for it is "uncultured Clostridiales bacterium partial 16S ribosomal RNA". It matches the Rfam family "Bacterial small subunit ribosomal RNA", at positions 355 to 774 of the family's 1533-position model. The record is from RNAcentral. Lineage: Bacteria; Bacillati; Bacillota; Clostridia; Eubacteriales.